ACCUGACUGCUAUCGGAUUGAUACUAAGCCAUGCGAGUCAUUGUAGUAAUACAAGGCAGACGGCUCAGUAACGCGUAGUCAACCUAACCUAUGGACGGGAAUAACCUCGGGAAACUGAGUAUAAUGCCCGAUAGAACAUUAUGCCUGGAAUGGUUUAUGUUCUAAAUGAUUUAUCGCCGUAGGAUGGGACUGCGGCCUAUCAGUUUGUUGGUGAGGUAAUGGCCCACCAAGACUAUUACAGGUACGGGCUCUGAGAGGAGUGGCCCGGAGAUGGGUACUGAGACACGGACCCAGGCCCUAUGGGGCGCAGCAGGCGAGAAAACUUUGCAAUGUGCGAAAGCACGACAAGGUUAAUCCGAGUGGUUUCUGCUAAAGAAACCUUUUGUCGGUCCUAGAAACACCGAUGAAUAAGGGGUGGGCAAGUUCUGGUGUCAGCCGCCGCGGUAAAACCAGCACCUCAAGUGGUCAGGAUGAUUAUUGGGCCUAAAGCAUCCGUAGCCGGCUCUGUAAGUUUUCGGUUAAAUCUGUACGCUUAACGUACAGGCUGCCGGGAAUACUGCAAAGCUAGGGAGUGGGAGAGGUAGACGGUACUCGGUAGGAAGGGGUAAAAUCCUUUGAUCUAUUGAUGACCACCUGUGGCGAAGGCGGUCUACCAGAACACGUCCGACGGUGAGGGAUGAAAGCUGGGGGAGCAAACCGGAUUAGAUACCCGGGUAGUCCCAGCUGUAAACUAUGCAAACUCAGUGAUGCAUUGGCUUGGAGCCAAUGCAGUGCUGCAGGGAAGCCGUUAAGUUUGCCGCCUGGGAAGUACGUACGCAAGUAUGAAACUUAAAGGAAUUGGCGGGGGAGCACCACAAGGGGUGAAGCCUGCGGUUC
RNAcentral lists this ribosomal RNA (876 nucleotides) under uncultured Nitrososphaerota archaeon. Its description in RNAcentral is "bacterial SSU rRNA". It matches the Rfam family "Archaeal small subunit ribosomal RNA", at positions 21 to 903 of the family's 1478-position model. Lineage: Archaea; Thermoproteati; Nitrososphaerota. The record is from RNAcentral.